This is a long non-coding RNA of Cercocebus atys (sooty mangabey), 577 nucleotides long. RefSeq lists it as uncharacterized. The record is from RefSeq and is a predicted model, not a curated record. The transcript has 5 exons. NCBI's taxonomy places the organism in Eukaryota, Metazoa, Chordata, Mammalia, Primates, Cercopithecidae.
CCUGGGGGACAAGAGCGAGAUUUUGCCUCAAAAAAAAAAAGAAAAAAAAGAAGAGGAGAGAAGGAUUGAAGGAAGACUCGGCAGAGAAUACAAGGGCAAGGAUCCAGUCACAGAAAACUACCCUAGUGCCUGCACUCCGACCUAUGAUCCAAGCCCCAUGUAGAAUGGAAAUGAGGAGGAGGGCUGGCCCUAGACAAUGUUAUUAAAUUUUAGAAUUUACUACAGAGGUACAGUUAAUCAAGAUUAGGUGGCACUGGCAUAAGGACAGACAUGUACGUCAAAGAAACAGAAAAGGAUGUCCAGAAAGCAACCCGCACAGAUACCAAACUGACCUUUAACAAAUGUUCUAAGCUAAAAGAUUUGAAGAUUGGGAGCUGAAAUCAUCUGAAUACUUCUCUUUCAUUUGUACCUACCUGGGGCUGCCGGCUAGACACCCACACAUGACUUCUGCAUGUGGCCUGGAUUUGCUCACGACAUGAUAGCUGGAUCCCACAGGGCUCUUCAGUGAUGAAUGAAAAGUGAGGAGAUCCGAAUCACACUGUUUCUGCUUUUUAAAUUAAAUUUUCUCAUCACUGUC